UAGUAUUUAUUAUAUAUAACCCCAAAGGAUUUGGCGGUAUGAUAAUUCUUUAGGGGAGUUUGUUUUUUAAUUCGAUGAUCCACGAUAAACCUUACUUUACCUAAAUAACUUACACAUUUCCGUUAUAAUGGCUUAUCUUAAAAUGGUUUAAUAAGCUAUAUAUUAAGUAUUUUAGUAAACAAAUCAGGUAAAUAAGUAGUUUUGGUAGAGGAUAAAAUGAGCUACAAUUGUUUUUCACAUUUUAAUUGGAUAGGUUUUUUAAAUAGAAUUUUGAAAUUGAACUUAAAAGUAAGAUUUUAUUAGUAGGAUAAUCUGAAUUGAAUUAAUUAUAUGU
Molecule: ribosomal RNA, 334 nt
Filed under: Pentanymphon antarcticum
Lineage: Eukaryota; Metazoa; Arthropoda; Pycnogonida; Pantopoda; Nymphonidae
Description: partial 12S ribosomal RNA
Source: RNAcentral